GGAGAGUUGGCUGAGUGGUCGAAGGCGCACGACUGGAAAUCGUGUAGGCGUGAUGAGCGUCUCCAGGGUUCAAAUCCCUGACUCUCCGCCA
RNAcentral lists this transfer RNA (91 nucleotides) under Candidatus Agathobaculum pullistercoris. RNAcentral's name for it is "tRNA-Ser". It matches the Rfam family "tRNA". From Rfam's summary of the family: Transfer RNA (tRNA) molecules are approximately 80 nucleotides in length. Their secondary structure includes four short double-helical elements and three loops (D, anti-codon, and T loops). Further hydrogen bonds mediate the characteristic L-shaped molecular structure. tRNAs have two regions of fundamental functional importance: the anti-codon, which is responsible for specific mRNA codon recognition, and the 3' end, to which the tRNAs corresponding amino acid is attached (by aminoacyl-tRNA synthetases). tRNAs cope with the degeneracy of the genetic code in two manners: having more than one tRNA (with a specific anti-codon) for a particular amino acid; and 'wobble' base-pairing, i.e. permitting non-standard base-pairing at the 3rd anti-codon position. The record is from RNAcentral. Lineage: Bacteria; Bacillati; Bacillota; Clostridia; Eubacteriales; Butyricicoccaceae. RNAcentral also lists the same sequence under 1 other name.